This 253-nucleotide ribosomal RNA is filed under the name uncultured bacterium. Its description in RNAcentral is "partial 16S ribosomal RNA". It matches the Rfam family "Bacterial small subunit ribosomal RNA", at positions 524 to 776 of the family's 1533-position model. The record is from RNAcentral.
UACGGAGGGAGCUAGCGUUGUUCGUAAUUACUGGGCGUAAAGCGUACGUAGGCGGUUACUCAAGUCAGAGGUGAAAGCCCGGGGCUCAACCCCGGAACUGCCUUUGAAACUAGGUGGCUAGAAUCUUGGAGAGGUCAGUGGAAUUCCGAGUGUAGAGGUGAAAUUCGUAGAUAUUCGGAAGAACACCAGUGGCGAAGGCGACUGACUGGACAAGUAUUGACGCUGAGGUACGAAAGCGUGGGGAGCAAACAGG